CUAAGUGAAAUAAUGACUUCAGACAGAGAAAGAUACCAUAUGAUUUCACUUAUAUGUGGAAUCUUAAAAAAUUAGUGAACCAAUGAAACAGAAAUAAACUCAGAGAACAUUUUGAUGGCUACCAGAUGGGAGGGAUGUUAGGGGCAUGGGUGAAAUAAGGGAAAGGAUUAAGAGGUACAAAUUGGUAGUUGCAAAGUAGUCAUGGGAAUGUAAAGUAUAGCAUAGGGAAUAUAGUCAGUAAUAUUGUAAUAACCAUGUAUGGUGUCAGAUGGGUACUAGAUUUAUUGGGGUGAUCACUUCAUAAGUUAUGUAAAUAUCUAAUCACUGUAUUGUAAACCUAAAACUAAUAAAAUAUUGUAUGUCAACUAAUUGAAAAAAAAAUUAUCAAAAUGAUUAGGGGAUAUUAUAACCUACUAUAAUUUUCUAAUGAGUUGGAAUUUUACCCUACUGGGCUUUUAGUUGUACUUUUUCAGAUUCAAAGAAUGAAUAUGUAUUGUGAAAGGUGAUAUCCUAAUAUCUGCAUUUUGAGGCAAAUAUGGCCUCAAUACUAGAAGUCAGACAUUUUGGAAAGGGUCUCAUUCCGAACAGAUGCAAAAUGUAAAAUAAAAUAUUGUCAAAUAAUACACAGCAUGUAAACUGCAGGCAUACCUCAUUUUAUUGCACUUUAUGGUGCUUGGUAGAUGUUGCGUUUUUUACAAAUUGAAGAGAUCCUUAGCGAUCAAAAAGUAUGACUUGCAUUUUUUAGCAAUAAAAUAUUUGUUUAGAUAUAGUGCUGUGUAUACUUAAAAGACUACAGUGUAAUGUAAACAUAACUUUUGUACGCAUUGGGAAACCAAAAAACUUGUGAGACUCACUUUAUUGCAUUAUUCAUUUUAUUGUGAUGGUCUGGAACUGAACCCACAAUAUCUCCCAGGUAUGCCUGUAAUUAUUUACUAGGAUUCAUUCAGGAUUAUAAGGCCGGUGUUCAAUAGAACAACCAUUAAAUGAACAUCAACUGUGCAAAAUACUAAGUAAUCCAAACUUAAUUACAUAGAACUUAAAAGAUCAAUGAAGUUCAUCAUUCAUCUUCAAUUUAAAUAAUUACUUAAAACCAAGAACUAACAUUCCUAUCAGGAAAAUAUAUAGAAAGCAUUUCUCAAGCAGAAAUUAAACAGUCUUGGCACCAUUUUUAUUUAUAUAUGGUCUAAGAAGCUUAUUGUAAUAAAACCUUAGGAUUCACAGAAAGGUAAAGACAAGGAAAGAAAGCACAAAUAUUUUCUAUUCACAUGGCUUUGUAACUAGUAAAACCUAUAAUAUCAUAUAAAUAUCCUGACAAUAAAAGACUAAUUCAGGAAAUUGCAGGAUAAACAGUUUUUAAAAAUCUCAUUUCUAGAUUCCAACAGUGACAAACUACAAUUUAAAAACUUUGGAUAUUAAUAUAUACGAGCCAUUUAAAGUUAUACAACUAUAUUGGGAUAUAGCAGAUUGAAGGACCUACAUCCUAGGGUAAUGGAAAAAAGUAACCAGGGAGUCUGAAAACCAAAAUUAUAGUUCUCAUUUCACUGCUUACCAGUUGUAUGGUCUUGGAAAAAUCACAUAGCUUCAAUUUCAUCAUCUAUAAAAUAGAAAUAAUACUUUGCUGAAUUAUUUGGGGGAUUACAUUUAUGUAUAUGAAAUCAUGUUCAAAAGAAUGGCCACAGGUGACAUGUAGAUUUACUAUACUUCCACUUAACAUUCCAAUUGGAUGCUUAGGUAAUGACAGUUAUGAUAAAUUAUUUAGGAAAAAAAGCAAAACUAUGUCUUUAUAACCUGGGAAAAAAUGGGAGUCUUGCACUUAUAAUCCUUAAGACAUGCUAUUAAGUAAUCUUUCUAAAUAUACUAUGGUACUGAAUAGAAAGUUUAGCUAAGACUAAUAAGCCAAUUGGAAAAAAAGAAAUAUGUAAUAACUGCCAGAAAGACUAGCUGGAUGUCAAUAUGAAAAAAAGAAAUUAGAUCCUAUUAUAGAUGAUAUAACUAAUUCCACAUCAAUUAAAAUGUUAAGUAUAAAGGUAAAAAUAAAAAGACUACAGUUUUCAUCCUAAUAAUGGUAAAAGGAAAUGUAAGUGCAAAUCCAUAAGGCUUUUUACUCUUUACUAGGCAAAUUUAUAAAAGGACUGGCAAAUUGAAAUGACUUUGACCUAGUUCAUGCUAUUAGCAAAAAUUUUUCAAUUGUAUGUGUCCUCAUACCAGUAGCAUUAUUUUAUUAGUGGUUUUUAAAAUAACUAGAAAAUAUAGUGAGAGCUCUAUAACCAAUCUAUCUUUCGAUAGAUAUAACUCAUUUGAGUAGCAUAUGCCCAGGAAAAUAUUUAAAAGAUAUUUUUAGUAAGUCCGUUCAUUUGAGUUAAAAAAAUGACAAUCCCAAUAGUUGGGCUAUGGAUAAGUAAAUUUUUGUGUUUGCUAUUGCUAUCAUACACUGUUAUGUAGCCAUUAAAUAAUAAUCGUCUUUGUAAAACUAUGGCAAAAAUGUUUGAAUGAGACUUAAAAUGAGACAUAAAUUAUUGUAUUUACUGAUUAUAUUAUGUACACUGAAAAAAAAAUUGGAGUUUGA
Long non-coding RNA from Pteropus alecto (black flying fox), 2566 nucleotides. RefSeq lists it as uncharacterized. NCBI's taxonomy places the organism in Eukaryota, Metazoa, Chordata, Mammalia, Chiroptera, Pteropodidae. The record is from RefSeq and is a predicted model, not a curated record. The transcript has 2 exons.